This is an RNA transcript of Piliocolobus tephrosceles (Ugandan red Colobus), 2844 nucleotides long. It is a transcript of the gene named glucose-fructose oxidoreductase domain-containing protein 1-like, with no coding region annotated. The transcript has 3 exons. NCBI's taxonomy places the organism in Eukaryota, Metazoa, Chordata, Mammalia, Primates, Cercopithecidae. The record is from RefSeq and is a predicted model, not a curated record.
ACACCGGCCGCUGACAGCCAAACUCGCCAACUCCGCCCUCGUCCCCGCGGGAUCCCGGAGCCUGAGCCGGCCUGGGGCCGAGGCCGCCCGAACCGCGAGGCGAGCGAACAUGGCAGCAAAAUGAGGAGGCUGGCGCCGGGUCGUGGCCGCCGCUGCAGCGCUGCAGCUUGAGAUCCCCGUCCGGCGCGCUCCGGGCCGCAUCCUUAGCCGGCCUCCUGGCAGUCGCGGGAUUAUUUCAUUCCGAUCGGAGGGCUAGGGAUAAAGGAGACUCCCCAGCGGAGCGGGUCCGUGCCCAGACUCUGGGGCAGGGUGUAGACGUUUGUGUGUGCGAUUCGCCGGCUGCGCAAACGACGCGGGAGAGAGACGGUCCCGGGCUGCGGCGGCGCGGCCGCGGGGAUGAGCCGGCCAUGGAGCGGCCUUGGCGGGGCGCACGCAGCGGACUGGCGCUGCCGCGGGAGCGCCGCCUGAGCCGGGGCUCCAGGGGGCUUCGAAGCCUCCGGCGCCCUGAGGGGGUCCCUGUCGCCGACUCCGGGAAGGACGCAAACCCCGCGUGGCGGACACUGCCGCAGUCACCGUACUGAGGCGCCCCGAGCUUGCUCCGCCUGCAGCUCAGUGCGCGCUGGGCACCCGGGCGCCUUGCCCGGUGCACGGCGGCUGGCGCACAGCGGCUAGAUUGGCUGCAGGAGGCGGGUGCAGGACUAGCUGGAGGUGGGUGUGUGCGCGUGUUGGACUGGAGAUCCGAGUAGAAGCAGAACCAGCGGCUCUGAGCAGCCAUGCUUCCCGGGGUGGGCGUGUUCGGUACCAGCCUCACGGCCCGUGUCAUCAUCCCUUUGCUAAAAGACGAGGGCUUCGCGGUGAAGGCGCUGUGGGGCCGCACGCAGGAAGAAGCGGAGGAGCUGGCCAAGGAGAUGAGUGUCCCCUUCUACACUAGCCGCAUUGAUGAGGUGCUGCUGCAUCAGGACGUGGACUUGGUGUGCAUUAACCUGCCGCCGCCUCUCACCAGACAGAUCGCUGUCAAAACCCUAGGGUGCGACAGAGGACCUGCCCUUCAGCAGCUGUGGCGCCCUGUUGGGGUCGUUUGUUUCUUCCUGCUGUGAGUUAGUUUAGCGUGAGAUUGGAGGUGUGACCAUCGGCUGGAAUUAUUUCGUCUGCGCUGGAGUCCCAUUAAUGUUGUGAAAGCCACAUCCAUCUGUGUGAGCAAUCUUUAGGGAACUGGGACUGCUAGGUUCCAGCUUGUGGAGCUUGGAGGGAGAGGUGAGUGUGCAUUUGUGAGGGUGUGAGUGCGCACACACUACAGUGUGCUGCCCACGGAAUGUCUCUUGACUGUAGUCAAGGGCAAAGUAAUGGUUUUAGAGUACUUGUUAUUUAAAUGUGUCCCUGGCAGACUCUUCUCAUCUCCCACAUGAAUAUGAAUAAUCAAAAGUGGGUGGUGGAAAAUGAGAUGUGUUCCUCUUCUCUGUCUCUUCUCCCUUUCCAACAGAACCGGGACAUCGGAGGAAGAAAAUCAGCAGGCAGAACAAUAUUGGGGAAAAAACAAUGCCACGUGGUUCUGUUCAGCUGAGCUUCUGCUCCCUCCAGCACCCCCACAUGGGACAUUUGUUUACCCCCAGGAUGCUGCUCUUGGAGAGUCCCAGGGGACGGGUUUAAGCCCUUGGGGAUGCAGCCUGUCUAACUUAAUAUGCACAGCCGUUCACAUCCAGGGCACAGAGGCAGCCUGGCUUUCCCCGAAGGCCCACGGGGACCACAAUGCUGCAUUUGUCUGUGGAACUGAGAUUUAGCUGCAGGUUCUUGCCUGAAUGCAGCGGGCCUCCAGCCACAGCCUGCCGGCAUGGGGGAUUCCAGGAGGGAUGUGCUUCAUAAGCCGGCAUUUGCUCUUCUUUCCAGUCCCCAGACCCAGCCAAGAUUAUAGAUAGAUGUGCUCAUCACAUGCAGGUGCUGGGGAAGCCAGUGGGACAUCACUGGCUACAUCCACCAAUGGGAUUUUCCAACUUCAGUAUUUAUCGGUUUUUCAAACAAAUUCAUCAUCUGUAUUCCUUACCUAUUUACUGAGUGACUACAAUGUGUAAGGCAAUAUUCUCGGUCAUGGGGAGUUAGAAAAGGUCAAAUGCAUAUAAGAUAUGGCAUGUACUCUGAGAUAACUUGUAAUCUAUCCAGAACCUACUCAUCACAUUUGGAAAGAGAAGAGAAACUAGCAUUCUGUGGAGUACUUACUAUGUGCCAGAUCUGGAGUGAGGCAUAGUACAAGUGUUACUCAUUUACAUCUCAUGGCCAACCUCCAAUGUGGACAUUUAGCAUCUCCAUCUUACAAGUGAGAAACUUCACUGUAGAGAGAUUAAAUAUCACAUGUCAUUGAUUCUAUGACAUGUAUUAUUUUCACAUUUGAACACCUGAAAUAUAGAUAUGUCUAAAAGGGCUUUUCUUUCUUGAUAGUAAGAUAACUGUAGGUCUUUGCAGUGGUGUCUUAGAUCCUGUGAAAUAUGGUAUUUUGGCAAGUGUACACAGCUAAGAGCAAGUGGAAUCAGAAUUCUACUUAAGUUUGCCUGACUCCAAAGCUUGUGUGUUUUCCAGUAUAACGUGGUGCAGUAUCAAUGGUCUGUAUGAACAAAGGCCAUAUCAUUUUUAUUGACAAAGUAUAAAAAGGGGGAAAUGGUGACUGAACUGGAACUUGCAUCAUCUAAUUCCGUAACUGAGGAGGCAAUAGCCUGGGGACUGCAUGUAUCCCACAGGAUAUUAAAAAAUUGAGAAAAUGUUAUUUCAUGAUCUUUACUUCUCUGUUGAUUACAACUUAUUUUUGGGGAACAGGAUAGUCACAUGGCAUUAGAGUGGCAUCCAAUAGGUUUUUUU